AGUAGUUUGAUCAGUGGCUCGAGGACGAACGCUGGCGGCGUGCCUAACACAUGCAAGUCGAGCGGAGACAUUUGGAAAGCUUGCUUUUUGAAUGUUUCAGCGGCGGACGGGUGAGUAACGCGUAUCCAACCCUUCCCCAUAGUAGGGCACAGCCCGGCGAAAGUCGGAUUAAUUCCCUAUGCUGUCCAGAGAGGACAUCUGACCUGGACGAAAGAUUCAUCGCUAUGGGAUGGGGAUGCGUCUGAUUAGGUUGCAGGCGGGGUAACGGCCCACCUGGCCGACGAUCAGUAGGGGUUCUGAGAGGAAGGUCCCCCACAUUGGAACUGAGACACGGUCCAAACUCC
Molecule: ribosomal RNA, 344 nt
Filed under: uncultured Prevotella sp.
Lineage: Bacteria; Pseudomonadati; Bacteroidota; Bacteroidia; Bacteroidales; Prevotellaceae
Description: bacterial SSU rRNA
Rfam family: Bacterial small subunit ribosomal RNA
Source: RNAcentral